AUUGAACGCUGGCGGCAGGCCUAACACAUGCAAGUCGAGCGGAUGAAGGGAGCUUGCUCCUGGAUUCAGCGGCGGACGGGUGAGUAAUGCCUAGGAAUCUGCCUGGUAGUGGGGGAUAACGUCCGGAAACGGGCGCUAAUACCGCAUACGUCCUGAGGGAGAAAGUGGGGGCUCUUCGGACCUCACGCUAUCAGAUGAGCCUAGGUCGGAUUAGCUAGUUGGUGGGGUAAAGGCCUACCAAGGCGACGAUCCGUAACUGGUCUGAGAGGAUGAUCAGUCACACUGGGACUGAGACACGGUCCAGACUCCUACGGGAGGCAGCAGUGGGGAAUAUUGGACAAUGGGCGAAAGCCUGAUCCAGCCAUGCCGCGUGUGUGAAGAAGGUCUUCGGAUUGUAAAGCACUUUAAGUUGGGAGGAAGGGCAGUAAGUUAAUACCUUGCUGUUUUGACGUUACCAACAGAAUAAGCACCGGCUAACUUCGUG
This 484-nucleotide ribosomal RNA is filed under the name uncultured bacterium. RNAcentral describes it as "partial 16S ribosomal RNA". It matches the Rfam family "Bacterial small subunit ribosomal RNA", at positions 30 to 507 of the family's 1533-position model. The record is from RNAcentral.